Molecule: long non-coding RNA, 2177 nt
Filed under: Olea europaea subsp. europaea
Lineage: Eukaryota; Viridiplantae; Streptophyta; Magnoliopsida; Lamiales; Oleaceae
Source: RNAcentral
AGAAAAAAAUGAAAAAACUUAGGGCCUGUUCUCUUUAUCGUUUUCGGGCCGUUUUCUAUUUUCGAUUUUUCAAAAUGAUGAAAAUGCGUUCUCUUUCCCAUUUUCAAAAAUGAAUUUUCGAAAACAAAAAAAAAAAUUGUGAAGAAAACUCAAAACGAUGUUUUGGACGUUUUGAGUGUUUUCAGUACAAAACACGCUCAAGACUGAAAACACGGGAAACAACCAAAUUAAAAACCAACCCUUACCUCUCUCUCACAAUCUCACAUAUCGUCUCUCUCUCCCCCGUAAGUUUCUGCCUCUCGUUCUCUAGGGUUUGCUUUGCCAGCCUCACUCAAUUCUUCAACUCCCACGAAUGGUUGCGCUCCUUGGUUCGGCUCCUCCGAUUGACUGGGAAAUUGCGUGAAGAGGUGAAAAUUUCUCAUAUUUUCACCGAAGGGUUCUUGAAAAUUCCUGUAAAAAUUCCUUGCACCGAAUCUUUUAAAUCUCAACUUUACAAUCGCAACUCAUGGUCAGUGUAGGCUAGGUAAUUUGGUGUUUUUCCUGUUUAUAUUUUAGGUAUUCUCUGUUUGAAUGAUUACGUUACUCGACCUCUUUGAAUUCCAUAGUUCAUACGGUGAUUAGGGUGCUUGCAUUUGUUUAUUUUUUCUGGUAGUAAGUAGAGAAUAUAGCUUAUUUACGAGCCCCUGUUUGGUGCAUAUUUAAAUUCAAUUAAAUUUUGUUUUUAAUUAAUUACAGACAACAGGGAAAAGAAAAUGGAAUUGAUUGUCUUCAUGGGUUUGUGAUGGUUUUCCUCCAUAUAGAUUCUUUAACGUGGUAUAACUUGGGUGUAAGAGUUAUUCGCCAGGCCUCAUUAUUUCAAUUUCCAUCAAUAUAAGUUGUUUUCAUUUUCGUUGGUAAAAUUUCAUUUUUGUUGGUGAUUGUUUUCAUUAAAUUGAUUGUUUAAUGACAAUUGUCAUUACAGCAUUAUUAUCCUUUCUCCGCCUCUCUUUAUGUUCUUUAAGUGCCUGUGUAAGUGGCAUGUUGCUCAAUGUAUCCCCAGUAACAACUAACAAGGACGAAAUGCCACUUGUCUUCAAACUGAAAAUGUAUAUACCAAGUUAGCUUGUCAUUAUCUUAGAGAUAGCAAAAAUAGUAAGCAUUAACAGAAAAUGGCAUCACCAUUCAAAAGAAGCUCAUAUAAAAAAUAAAAUGCACAUCUGCAAUCAAAAGAGCUGAUAGCCUUAUAAGUUAUGAGCAUGAUGAGAACUAAGAUAACAUCAUCUUAUAAUACUUUCCAUUUUUCAUAGUCAUGACAAAUAGCAUUAGCAUAGACGUGGUUUCUUUCCAUAUCAUGAUAUCAAAAUCCCAGGAUUGGUUAUUAUUCCAUGCUUUCUCACUGGAGCAGUUAUAAUGAGGCCAAAUUACUAGAACUAAGUCUUGAUAAUCUGAUGUCGUGCUAGGCCUACCAUUUUAUAUAAAAAUAUCCCCAACUGUUCUCUCCUAAUUGCAAUGAUCUCUUUGAAUUUAAUUGGUUGAGCAUGUGAUAAUAUUAUCCCCUUAAUUGCAAUACUUUAUUAGAUCCAUGGAUGUAUAUACAUUUGUUGUUUACUUUUAUUUUUCGUAAAUGUGUCUAUGAGCAUGUGUCAGUAGCUUGUUUCUAAAUAUGGUCAAGAAAUGCGAGAAGAAGCAAUUAUUAUUUUUAGUUUGCUUCUUACUUAGAAAUAAACUAAGCCAUAUGUGCUCUGUGGAACAUUUGGUAGUACUAUGUUGAACUUGAAUGUUUUUAAUUUUCCUUCUCUCUUCAAUUUAAUUGGUUGAGGAUGUCUUUAUGGUCCAGGUGAGCUUCAAGCCUAUGCUCACUCAGUCAUUAGAAAAGUGACAUCUGAUGGGAUCAUAAUUUCUUGUUAUCUCGCUGUCAUAUGAUUGGCUUUAAUUUUAUGCUACUGCUGAAUUUUGUGAAAUUUUUUGGUUAGGUUCAGACCCUCACACUACCAUUUUAGAGAACUCAUCUAUGUAUGUAUUGCUUCUUUUGACUGGAGUUGCAGUGGAAUUUGCAAGUCAAUAGAGAAUAUCAAAUUUGCACAACCAGAUUGUGAAUGGAAUGCACAAGUUAUGGAGCCACGACAUGUUUUGCACACAUUCUUUUGCAUUAGAAUAGAGGGGAUGUUCGCAUAAAAUAAAAAUAAAAAUAAAAAUUG